RNAcentral lists this long non-coding RNA (199 nucleotides) under Elaeis guineensis (African oil palm). Its description in RNAcentral is "long non-coding RNA (EGUI_LNC024180)". The record is from RNAcentral. Lineage: Eukaryota; Viridiplantae; Streptophyta; Magnoliopsida; Arecales; Arecaceae.
AUGAAACAUGGAAAUUUCAUUCCAUAGGAAUGUCAUUUUUUAAUAUCUCUUUUUUGAAAACUCAAAUCUAAGAGAGGCUUCUUUAUUUUUCGUUGGCUAUACUUUCCUUCCUUCUCUUCCCGCUAACUAUAGAAAAAGGAAAGAAGGCCAAUACGUCUUUCUCAUAUACCUAAGAAUCUACCAUCCAACCAAGUGUCCC